RNAcentral lists this small nuclear RNA (107 nucleotides) under Mustela putorius furo (domestic ferret). The record is from RNAcentral. Lineage: Eukaryota; Metazoa; Chordata; Mammalia; Carnivora; Mustelidae.
GUGCUCACUUCAGCAGCACAUAUACUAAAACUGGAAUGAUACAGAGAAGAUUAGCAUGGCCCUGCACAAGGAUGACAUGGAAGAAAGGGCAAAUGAUACCUAUAAUU